GACGAACGCUGGCGGCGUGCUUAACACAUGCAAGUCGAGCGGGGAUAUUGAUUGGAGGGUUUCGGCCGGAAGGUUGAUAUUCCAGCGGCGGACGGGUGAGUAACGCGUGAGCAAUCUGUCCCAGACAGGGGGAUAACAGAUGGAAACAUCUGCUAAUACCGCAUAAGACCACGAGGUCACAUGAUCUUGGGGUAAAAGGAGAAAUCCGGUUUGGGGUGAGCUCGCGUCCGAUUAGGUAGUUGGUGAGGUAACGGCCCACCAAGCCUGCGAUCGGUAGCCGACCUGAGAGGGUGAUCGGGCCACAUUGGAACUGAGACACGGUCCAAACUCCUACGGGAGGCAGCAGUGGGGAAUAUUGGGCAAUGGGCGAAAGCCUGACCCAGCAACGCCGCGUGAGUGAAGAAGGCUUUCGGGUGUAAAGCUCUGUCCUAGGGGACGAAGGGAAGU
Molecule: ribosomal RNA, 447 nt
Filed under: uncultured bacterium
Lineage: Bacteria
Description: bacterial SSU rRNA
Rfam family: Bacterial small subunit ribosomal RNA
Source: RNAcentral